AUGAUUAACAAAGCCAGGGUUGCAGGCCACAUUAAAGGGCUAAUCACUCACCUCAUCCCCGGCGGUGUGACUCACCUUCAGUACGCAGAUGACACGAUGUUGUUAUUCAAGCCGGACGACCAUAGCAUUGCCUCGAUUAGGUUACUGCUGCUAGCAUUUGAGAUAUUGUCCGGGCUUAAGAUCAAUUUUCUCAAAAGUGAAGUGAUCACCAUAGGGAUGGUUGAUGACGAAAGUAGGAGGGUGGCAAACUUGCUCAAGUGUAAGAUUGCGAAGUUUCCGAUCAAAUACCUAGGGCUACCGAUAACACACAAGAACCUAACCAUAGCCGAAUGGGCGCCCCUAUAUGGCAAAGUGGUGAAUUGGGUAAGUCCGUGGAGAGGGAGGUUUAUGUCUUCGGCCGCUAGGUUAAUUUUGACCAAUUCUAGCUUGUCCUCCCUUCCUCUCUUUACAAUGGGCAUGUUCCUCCUUGCCGAUGGAGUGCAUGCCAAGCUUGACACGCCGCGCGCCCGUUUCUUUUGGAAAGGAACUGGGAGAAACGCAAAUACCACUUGGUCAAGUGGGCUGCGGUUUGCAGACCGAAAAAGUUCGGUGGUUUGGGGAUCUCGAACUCGAAACUUAUGA
RNAcentral lists this ribosomal RNA (621 nucleotides) under Triticum aestivum (bread wheat). RNAcentral describes it as "partial small subunit ribosomal RNA". Lineage: Eukaryota; Viridiplantae; Streptophyta; Magnoliopsida; Poales; Poaceae. The record is from RNAcentral.